Schistosoma haematobium is the source of this 45-nucleotide non-coding RNA. The record is from Rfam. NCBI's taxonomy places the organism in Eukaryota, Metazoa, Platyhelminthes, Trematoda, Strigeidida, Schistosomatidae.
AUCCAGCUGAUGAGUUCCGAAUAGGGCUAAACGCACGUACUGGAU